UACAGGGGGGGCAAGCGUUGUUCGGAAUCAUUGGGCGUAAAGCGCACGUAGGCGGCCUGAUAAGUCGGGUGUGAAAGCCCUGGGCUCAACCCAGGAAGUGCACUCGAAACUGUCAGGCUUGAAUAUGGAAGAGGGUCGCGGAAUUCCCGGUGUAGAGGUGAAAUUCGUAGAUAUCGGGAGGAACACCAGUGGCGAAGGCGGCGACCUGGGCCAAUAUUGACGCUGAGGUGCGAAAGCGUGGGGAGCAAACAGG
This 253-nucleotide ribosomal RNA is filed under the name uncultured bacterium. Its description in RNAcentral is "partial 16S ribosomal RNA". It matches the Rfam family "Bacterial small subunit ribosomal RNA", at positions 524 to 776 of the family's 1533-position model. The record is from RNAcentral.